This 458-nucleotide long non-coding RNA is filed under the name Mytilus galloprovincialis (Mediterranean mussel). Lineage: Eukaryota; Metazoa; Mollusca; Bivalvia; Mytilida; Mytilidae. The record is from RNAcentral.
CUUUAAAGUAACAACACUUGGCCAGCACCUCUUAAGGAAAGGACUAUUAAUGCUAUGUUUGAUUUCAUUCAAUUCCCUGGUUCUCUAGAAGAAGACUUUUGUAUGCAUUUCCCAUAAGGUCCUAUGUUAAACUAAGCCCCCACCCCGCUGGCAGCCAUCUUGGAUGAUUGAUCGGAGACAAAGUAACAACGCUUGGUCAGCAUCUCAUAAGGAACAUUCAUGCCAUGUUUGGUUUCAUUCCAUUCAGUGGUUCUCUAGAGAAGUCAUUUGUAUGAAUUUCCAAUAAGGUCCUAUGUUAAACUAAGUCCCCCGCUGGCGGCCAUCUUGGAUGAUGGAUCAGCUACAAAGUAACAACACUUGGUCAUCACCUCAUAAGGAACAUGCAUGCCAUGUUUGGUUUCAUUCCAUUCAGUGGUUCUCUACAAGAAGUCAUUUGUAUGCAUAUCCCAUAGGGUCCC